This 301-nucleotide ribosomal RNA is filed under the name uncultured bacterium. RNAcentral describes it as "partial 16S ribosomal RNA". It matches the Rfam family "Bacterial small subunit ribosomal RNA", at positions 509 to 809 of the family's 1533-position model. The record is from RNAcentral.
CAGUAGCCGCGGUAAUACGUAGGUGGCAAGCGUUGUCCGGAAUUAUUGGGCGUAAAGGGCUCGCAGGCGGUUUCUUAAGUCUGAUGUGAAAGCCCCCGGCUCAACCGGGGAGGGUCAUUGGAAACUGGGAAACUUGAGUGCAGAGGAGGAGAGUGGAAUUCCACGCGUAGCUGUGAAAUGCGUAGAGAUGUGGAGGAACACCAGUGGCGAAGGCGACUCUCUGGUCUGUAACUGACGCUGAGGAGCGAAAGCGUGGGGAGCGAACAGGAUUAGAUACCCGGGUAGUCCCUGUCUCUUAUAU